Molecule: ribosomal RNA, 561 nt
Filed under: uncultured bacterium
Lineage: Bacteria
Description: bacterial SSU rRNA
Rfam family: Bacterial small subunit ribosomal RNA
Source: RNAcentral
AACGUACGCUGGCGGCACGCCUAACACAUGCAAGUCGAACGAAGUAGCAAUACUUAGUGGCAGACGGGUGAGUAACAUGUAGGUAUCUGCCCUUUGGCCUGGAAUAACACGAGGAAACUUGUGCUAAUACCGGAUAAGUCUUUACGGAGAAAGCUUUAUGCACCAUUGGAUGAGCCUGCACUUGAUUAGUUUGUUGGUGGGGUAAUGGCCUACCAAGACUGUGAUCAAUAGCUGAUUUGAGAGGAUGAUCACCCACAUUGGGACUGAGACACGGCCCAAACUCCUACGGGAGGCAGCAGUGGGGAAUCUUGCACAAUGGAGGAAACUCUGAUGCAGCGAUGCCGCGUGAGUGAAGAAGGCCCUUGGGUUGUAAAGCUCUUUCGUCGGGGAAGAAAAUGACUGUACCCGAAUAAGAAGGUCCGGCUAACUUCGUGCCAGCAGCCGCGGUAAUACGAAGGGACCUAGCGUAGUUCGGAAUUACUGGGCUUAAAGAGUUCGUAGGUGGUUGAAAAAGUUGGUGGUGAAAUCCCAGAGCUUAACUCUGGAACUGCCAUCAAAACU